GCCCUAUUAUCUAACUGUGCCAUCUUCCAAAGGGGUUGUGUGUAUGGGCAGGGGGGAUGUCCCAGCGUUACGAAUGCAGAAGUAAAAACACCAAUCUGAAAAAGGAAAGGGAGGAUAAAUGUUCUGUCCUCCAAAAUAGAGAGUCUUAAAACAGGAGGACAAAGGACAGGUCCUCACCAGGGCUACGCCCACGCCCACGGGAAAGGCACACAGAGCAGGGCGGUCCAAACCAGCAGUCGUGAGAGCACGAGGCUUAGCAAACAAUGGUUGCUGUACUCCACCCACGCCCCUGGAGCUGAAUUUCAAGUUCUGAAUUUAGACAAUACAGCUGGAAUUUCUGCAGUGUCACUCCGUGACACGCGGGGCUCCGGGCAGCUCUUGUUAAAAAUAUCUGGACACCCAUUGCAAGAACGAAAAUGAAUAUUUGAAAAGGAAAAGACAUCUACGGUGAGUUGGCAGGAAUUCUCCCAGGCAGGAUGAAAGGAAAUAGUUAUUUGGAGAGUACCUUCAAGCAGGCUAGAAGUUUCAUAAUGGCUUGAAGAAGUAGGAUGAAUUUGUCGGGGGAAAAAAAAGAUAGGAUUAUGGUUGUAUCACAUUAGACCCUUCCUCGCAUUUAGGGUAGACUCAGGAAACUUUCAUUCACAGAAAGGUAACUUUAAAUUUGAUAAAUUAUUUGCAAGGCUUGGUGUACCGCCCACUGUUCUUCUAGACCAUAAACUCUUUGGAUGUCAGAUAUAAAGAAAGCCUUGGGAAAUGUUGCUGCAUCGAUGUGUCCCUAAUAAAUGGUAAGAUAUAAAAAUCUUAGAGCAGUGGUCAAAUGUUGGCUUAACACCACAGGAUCAGUCCUUCCAGGGCUGCUGAACACUCCAGGAUUAUUAUGUUGAGACGGGUCACCCGGAAGUCGGCUCUCCUGCUGGGCAUUAUCACCUGCCUGGGGGGUGACCUGACAGGCUCCUCCUCCAACAGAGCAACAUAGAAUUCAGAAUCUCAGAAUUGGAAGGUUCGGAUUGCUUCCCUCAGUACUUACGUGAUGCUGAUCAAGCCCUUUAACUUCCCCAGUUAGUUCCACGUCACUAAAUAAAGAGCAAAGACAUCUACUCUACCUACCCCGUGAAGGCAGUGCGACUCUGGAAUGAGGCCAACUCUGAAAUAUGGAUCCUUGCAUCAGUCUUGAUCAAACAGAAAAUCUGGGGGGUUAUGAAAGAGCUGGAGGAGGAAAUCUAAGAUCAUGUUUAAGAGCUGGAAUACAGGAAGGGCGUCUAGGUGGCUCAGUCGGUUAAGUGUCUGACUUUGGCUCAGGUCUUGAUCUCACGGUUUGUGAGUUCGAGCCCCUAGUCUGGCUCUGUGCUGACAGCUCAGAACCUGGAGCCUGCUUUGGAUUUUGUGCCUCCCCUCUCUCUGCUCCUCCCAUGCACAUGCUCUGUCUCUCAAUAAUAAAUAAACCUUUAAAAAAUUUUUUUAAAAAAGAAAAAAGAGCUGGAGUGCAGGAGUAAAACGAAUCUGAAUCCUUUCCUGUGGUUUUGUAAAACUUUACUUAGGCAACAUGCUUAUGUUCUCCAAGCUGUUAGCGGAGUGUCUGAUGCAGUUACUGCACUAAAAACUUUACCUGUUACCAUAACGAAGGAGUUAGCAUCGUAUUAUGGUGAAAAAUGUAGGCGCUGGAGUCAGAUGACCUAGACCCUGGAAAGGGGCAAAUGUUUUUUGAAGAAGUAACGUCACAACUCUCAGAAAUAAAAUGCACAUUUGUUAAAGAUAUAUUUAACUCCUUAAUUCAUGAGGGAACCAAUACAAUGUCUCUAAAGGAGAAUUCCAAACACCACACAUUUAAGAGGCAGUCAGGCAUACAAAAAUGAACGGCUAGAUGCAAAAUACGUUUUUGACAUGGUGGGAAGAAAAAUCAGUUAUCUUUUCACCCGACAGAAUGCACUUGCAUAUCUACAGACACGAAUUAUUUUCAAUGCUAUCAGUUUUCUACAGUUUACAGAAUUGAGAUGAGCUGACAGACAACAAAAUAAUUCAAAGACAAUGAAAGCCUAAAACGGUAGUGCUUGGAGCAGGUUGAAGUUAAUCUAGAAACAAAAUGACAUAUUUUUUUGCACCUUAAUAUUGUGAACUUAAAUUCCCAUUUGCUAAAAACUCAUGGGAAACGCUAUAUCCGAGAAAAUUCCAGUUUCUUGAUAAGCCUCAUCUACAUUACUGCCUACUGUUCAGAUUUGCAACUAAUUCAAAUCUGACUCCUUUGUCUUGGGCUUUUUAAAAAAAAAAUUUAAUGUUUAUUUAUUUUUGAAGGAGAGAGAGACAGAGCACCAGCAGGGGAGAGACAGAAAGAGAAGGAGACACAGAAUCCGAAGCAGGCUGCAGGCUCUGAGCUGUCAGCACAGAGCCCAGUGUGGGGCUCGAACCCACGGACCGCGAGAUCACGACCUGAGCGGAAGUUGGAUGCUUAACCGACUGAGCCACCCAGGUGCCCCCAUCUUAUGCUUUCAAUAGAUUUGACACUUAACGAACCCAUGUGGUAUACUGAUCCAGCUCAGUGGCCUUCAUGUGAUUAUUCCUGAUUGGGACAGCCAGUGUCUUAGGCUAUAGUUUGUCUUAUUGCCUGUUUAAAACUUUCUUACCCCAUGAGUUACCUCUAUGUUUGUUUUUA
Molecule: long non-coding RNA, 2647 nt
Filed under: Lynx pardinus (Iberian lynx)
Lineage: Eukaryota; Metazoa; Chordata; Mammalia; Carnivora; Felidae
Source: RNAcentral